Long non-coding RNA from Esox lucius (northern pike), 234 nucleotides. RefSeq lists it as uncharacterized. NCBI's taxonomy places the organism in Eukaryota, Metazoa, Chordata, Actinopteri, Esociformes, Esocidae. The transcript has 3 exons. The record is from RefSeq and is a predicted model, not a curated record.
UUUUGGCGGAUGCAGUUUGAGUUCUGAUUGUAAAAUAACCAGAUAUUUAGGACUGUCUUUAGAAAAUUUAGAGAAGAUCAAGUGGGUGACUGAAGAGAAUGUCAAGCUGAGGGCACAGCUGACUCCACAAUCAGGUUCUGAUAAACUGACUGAAGGGAAUGUCAAGCCGAGGGCACCGCUGGCACUACACUCAGGAGCCAUAAGGAACAAAUCCUUCCAACUGGGAUGAGGCUG